Aethina tumida (small hive beetle) is the source of this 1273-nucleotide long non-coding RNA. RefSeq lists it as uncharacterized. The transcript is spliced from 5 exons. Lineage: Eukaryota; Metazoa; Arthropoda; Insecta; Coleoptera; Nitidulidae. The record is from RefSeq and is a predicted model, not a curated record.
GUAAAAAGUCGUGCGCAUUAAAAUUAAAUAUGGCGCUUUAUAAUGACAGUUAACUGUAGUCGUUGCCUGUCAACUAAAUAUCUCAAACAUGGAGUACAAGCCAUAUAAUUGUCAUGUAUCUAAUAUUCAGGAUUCUACGUCAAAAUUACAAAGUGGAUAAGAACUGGGAAAGAGGCAAGAAUAAAAAAUGAGGUCUUCUGUCUAAUAUUCAGAUUCUACAUCGAUGUUACCAAGUGGCUAAAGACUGGUAAAGGUCUGUCGAUUAAAUAAGAGGUCUUCUGUCUAAUAUUCAGAUUCUACAUCGAUGUUACUAAGUGGCUAAAGACUGGAAAAAGUCUGUGGAUUAAAUAAGAGCCCUUACCACUUUGUUCUUGACAUGAUAAACGUUGGAAAACGAUCCAGAGCCCAACUGAUGCAAAACUUCAUAGUCCGAAAGGUGUAGUUGGUACUCCAUGUUCUCGGUCAAAUUCCAGACAAUGUGUUUAAUAACUUCUGGUUCGUGAUCCUGUGGAUAGCUGUUACUUCUUUUAAUUUUACCACACACAAUGUGAUCGGGGUAACUUGCGAUUACAAUUUCUUCCGACCUAUGCUGAAGGGGACAAAAACUGUUCAACUACUUGGUCUCCAUACAUUAACACAACUUGUUGACUGUUAUGCACGGGCAAGACUUACUUUGACGAGAGACAUGCGAUUCUUAAUGGCGUCAAAAAUCGUACGUUAAAAAUGUCUAAGAUUAAUAACACGGAUAAUGUGCAAUUUUGAAACCGCAGCUUCUGUAAUCAGAAACUAAAUAAUGAAUUGGAAAAUCAGAAACGUUUCUUAAGGCACUGUCGAUUGGAUUCACCUGAAAUCUGGAGAAGCACAAGGCUGGAGCAUGUACUCGUCAGAAGUUUGGGAAGCAAAGUGGCCUAUGAUCAGCAACAGCGAGUUCUAUUUGAAAUGGAGCGGUUGACUGUAUGGUUGCCAACUAAAUUCGGUGAUAAACUAAAAAGCCUCAAGUCUGGGCGGCACAUUCAAAAUGAUAACGUUUGUAUUUAUUUUGAUUAUUAAUAUGAGACUGAAAAAUCAUCCGCUGAAAACAAUAUUGUGCCAAAACUCGAAAUUGAGAAAGUUUUUAUCAAAUUAGAUUUUAAAAAGUAAUCAAAACUCUCCCUGUAAUUUAUUAAGUUAUUACACUGGUAAUUAAAGAGGAAUUUAAAUUUGAAGGGGAGAUCUUUAAAAUUAAAAUUAUAAUAAAUUAAUCCACGAUUAUUACAACAUAUUAAUUAUUCUU